This 465-nucleotide ribosomal RNA is filed under the name uncultured bacterium. RNAcentral describes it as "partial 16S ribosomal RNA". It matches the Rfam family "Bacterial small subunit ribosomal RNA", at positions 28 to 507 of the family's 1533-position model. The record is from RNAcentral.
GACGAACGCUGGCGGCGUGCUUAACACAUGCAAGUCGAACGGAAAGGCCCCUUUGGGGGUACUCGAGUGGCGCACGGGUGAGUAACGCGUGAGUAACCUGCCCUUGACUUCGGGAUAACUUCAGGAAACUGGGGCUAAUACCGGAUAGGAAUCCUUGCUGCAUGGUGGGGGUUGGAAAGCUUCGGCGGUUUUGGAUGGACUCGCGGCUUAUCAGCUUGUUGGUGGGGUAGUGGCUUACCAAGGCUUUGACGGGUAGCCGGCCUGAGAGGGCGACCGGCCACAUUGGGACUGAGAUACGGCCCAGACUCCUACGGGAGGCAGCAGUGGGGAAUAUUGCACAAUGGGCGGAAGCCUGAUGCAGCAACGCCGCGUGCGGGAUGACGGCCUUCGGGUUGUAAACCGCUUUCAGCAGGGGCGAAGCUUGUGGUGACGGUACCUGCAGAAGAAGCACCGGCUAACUACGUG